RNAcentral lists this ribosomal RNA (451 nucleotides) under Streptomyces sp. A00052. RNAcentral describes it as "bacterial SSU rRNA". It matches the Rfam family "Bacterial small subunit ribosomal RNA", at positions 18 to 482 of the family's 1533-position model. Lineage: Bacteria; Bacillati; Actinomycetota; Actinomycetes; Kitasatosporales; Streptomycetaceae. The record is from RNAcentral.
UCUGGCUCAGGACGAACGCUGGCGGCGUGCUUAACACAUGCAAGUCGAACGAUGAAACCGCUUCGGUGGUGGAUUAGUGGCGAACGGGUGAGUAACACGUGGGCAAUCUGCCCUUCACUCUGGGACAAGCCCUGGAAACGGGGUCUAAUACCGGAUAACACUCUGUCCCGCAUGGGACGGGGUUGAAAGCUCCGGCGGUGAAGGAUGAGCCCGCGGCCUAUCAGCUUGUUGGUGGGGUAAUGGCCUACCAAGGCGACGACGGGUAGCCGGCCUGAGAGGGCGACCGGCCACACUGGGACUGAGACACGGCCCAGACUCCUACGGGAGGCAGCAGUGGGGAAUAUUGCACAAUGGGCGAAAGCCUGAUGCAGCGACGCCGCGUGAGGGAUGACGGCCUUCGGGUUGUAAACCUCUUUCAGCAGGGAAGAAGCGAAAAGUGACGGUACCCUGC